GUGGGGAAUUUUGGACAAUGGGCGAAAGCCUGAUCCAGCCAUGCCGCGUGCAGGAUGAAGGCCUUCGGGUUGUAAACUGCUUUUGUACGGAACGAAAAGACUCCUUCUAAUAAAGGGGGUCCAUGACGGUACCGUAAGAAUAAGCACCGGCUAACUACGUGCCAGCAGCCGCGGUAAUACGUAGGGUGCAAGCGUUAAUCGGAAUUACUGGGCGUAAAGCGUGCGCAGGCGGUUAUAUAAGACAGAUGUGAAAUCCCCGGGCUCAACCUGUGAACUGCAUGUGUGACUGUAUAGCUAGAGUACGGUAGAGGGGGAUGGAAUUCCGCGUGUAGCAGUGAAAUGCGUAGAUAUGCGGAGGAACACCGAUGGCGAAGGCAAUCCCCUGGACCUGUACUGACGCUCAUGCACGAAAGCGUGGGGAGCAAACAGGAUUAGAAACCCGAGUAGUCC
This 450-nucleotide ribosomal RNA is filed under the name uncultured bacterium. Its description in RNAcentral is "partial 16S ribosomal RNA". It matches the Rfam family "Bacterial small subunit ribosomal RNA", at positions 354 to 796 of the family's 1533-position model. The record is from RNAcentral.